GGAAAGGUGGCAGAGAGGCUGAAUGCAUCGCACUCGAAAUGCGACGAACAUUUUUAAUGUUCCAGGAGUUCAAAUCUCCUCCUUUCCGCCA
This 91-nucleotide transfer RNA is filed under the name Succinatimonas hippei. Its description in RNAcentral is "tRNA-Ser". It matches the Rfam family "tRNA". Rfam says of the family: Transfer RNA (tRNA) molecules are approximately 80 nucleotides in length. Their secondary structure includes four short double-helical elements and three loops (D, anti-codon, and T loops). RNAcentral also lists the same sequence under 2 other names. Lineage: Bacteria; Pseudomonadati; Pseudomonadota; Gammaproteobacteria; Aeromonadales; Succinivibrionaceae. The record is from RNAcentral.